UGGGGAAUAUUGCACAAUGGGGGAAACCCUGAUGCAGCGACGCCGCGUGAAGGAAGAAGUAUUUCGGUACGUAAACUUCUAUCAGCAGGGAAGAAAGUGACGGUACCUGACUAAGAAGCCCCGGCUAACUACGUGCCAGCAGCCGCGGUAAUACGUAGGGGGCAGGCGUUAUCCGGAUUUACUGGGUGUAAAGGGAGCGUAGACGGCAAGGCAAGUCUGAUGUGAAAGGCGGGGGCUCAACUCCUGGACUGCAUUGGAAACUGUCAAGCUAGAGUGUCGGAGGGGUAAGCGGAAUUCCUGGUGUAGCGGUGAAAUGCGCAGAUAUCAGGAGGAACACCGGUGGCGAAGGCGGCUUACUGGACGGCAACUGACGUUGAGGCUCGAAAGCGUGGGGAGCAAACAGG
Molecule: ribosomal RNA, 404 nt
Filed under: uncultured bacterium
Lineage: Bacteria
Description: bacterial SSU rRNA
Rfam family: Bacterial small subunit ribosomal RNA
Source: RNAcentral